ACAAUGAAGAGUUUGAUCCUGGCUCAGGAUGAACGCUAGCUACAGGCUUAACACAUGCAAGUCGAGGGGCAUCAGGAAGAAAGCUUGCUUUCUUUGCUGGCGACCGGCGCACGGGUGAGUAACACGUAUCCAACCUGCCCUUUACUCGGGGAUAGCCUUUCGAAAGAAAGAUUAAUACCCGAUAGCAUAAUGAUUCCGCAUGGUUUCAUUAUUAAAGGAUUCCGGUAAAGGAUGGGGAUGCGUUCCAUUAGGUUGUUGGUGAGGUAACGGCCCACCAAGCCUUCGAUGGAUAGGGGUUCUGAGAGGAAGGUCCCCCACAUUGGAACUGAGACACGGUCCAAACUCCUACGGGAGGCAGCAGUGAGGAAUAUUGGUCAAUGGGCGCUAGCCUGAACCAGCCAAGUAGCGUGAAGGAUGAAGGCUCUAUGGGUCGUAAACUUCUUUUAUAUAAGAAUAAAGUGCAGUAUGUAUACUGUUUUGUAUGUAUUAUAUGAAUAAGGAUCGGCUAACUCCGUGCCAGCAGCCGCGGUAAUACGGAGGAUCCGAGCGUUAUCCGGAUUUAUUGGGUUUAAAGGGAGCGUAGGUGGACUGGUAAGUCAGUUGUGAAAGUUUGCGGCUCAACCGUAAAAUUGCAGUUGAUACUGUCAGUCUUGAGUACAGUAGAGGUGGGCGGAAUUCGUGGUGUAGCGGUGAAAUGCUUAGAUAUCACGAAGAACUCCGAUUGCGAAGGCAGCUCACUGGACUGCAACUGACACUGAUGCUCGAAAGUGUGGGUAUCAAACAGGAUUAGAUACCCUGGUAGUCCACACAGUAAACGAUGAAUACUCGCUGUUUGCGAUAUACAGUAAGCGGCCAAGCGAAAGCAUUAAGUAUUCCACCUGGGGAGUACGCCGGCAACGGUGAAACUCAAAGGAAUUGACGGGGGCCCGCACAAGCGGAGGAACAUGUGGUUUAAUUCGAUGAUACGCGAGGAACCUUACCCGGGCUUAAAUUGCAGUGGAAUGAUGUGGAAACAUGUCAGUGAGCAAUCACCGCUGUGAAGGUGCUGCAUGGUUGUCGUCAGCUCGUGCCGUGAGGUGUCGGCUUAAGUGCCAUAACGAGCGCAACCCUUAUCUUUAGUUACUAACAGGUCAUGCUGAGGACUCUAGAGAGACUGCCGUCGUAAGAUGUGAGGAAGGUGGGGAUGACGUCAAAUCAGCACGGCCCUUACGUCCGGGGCUACACACGUGUUACAAUGGGGGGUACAGAAGGCAGCUAGCGGGUGACCGUAUGCUAAUCCCAAAAUCCUCUCUCAGUUCGGAUCGAAGUCUGCAACCCGACUUCGUGAAGCUGGAUUCGCUAGUAAUCGCGCAUCAGCCACGGCGCGGUGAAUACGUUCCCGGGCCUUGUACACACCGCCCGUCAAGCCAUGGGAGCCGGGGGUACCUGAAGUACGUAACCGCAAGGAUCGUCCUAGGGUAAAACUGGUGACUGGGGCUAAGUCGUAACAAGGUAGCCGUACCGGAAGGUGCGGCUGGAACACCUCCUUU
RNAcentral lists this ribosomal RNA (1529 nucleotides) under Bacteroides fragilis. RNAcentral describes it as "bacterial SSU rRNA". It matches the Rfam family "Bacterial small subunit ribosomal RNA". Lineage: Bacteria; Pseudomonadati; Bacteroidota; Bacteroidia; Bacteroidales; Bacteroidaceae. The record is from RNAcentral.